This 1336-nucleotide long non-coding RNA is filed under the name Felis catus (domestic cat). RNAcentral's name for it is "lncRNA (ENSFCAG00000052087.1)". The record is from RNAcentral. Lineage: Eukaryota; Metazoa; Chordata; Mammalia; Carnivora; Felidae.
AUGCAGAGGUCAGGCCGAACCUCCCUCCUGUUCCUUUCUGUUGGUCUUUGUUCCCGAGCUUGUGAUGUCAAGUACACCCAUCUCUUCUCCCCUCCAGGUUUCCUGUUCCAAACAGGACACAUUCCGGAAUCAGAAGACAGGGAACGAAGAAGUGGGAGCCCCGGUGGAAGAUUCCGAAGCUGGGAAGGAGGAGAAAAUGAAACGUUGCCCGAAGACAAUGGCCGAGACAGCAGGUCCCACCCUGCACGGCCUGCCAGCACCUCUCCCCCCAGCCCCGUCUCCUCCUCUGCAGCUUGGAUCUGUACGUUAACAUUGCUCGUCUGCAGUAAGAAAUAAAAAGAACCCCCCCCUCGGAACCAAUCUAUAAAAACAACGUGUCUGGCCGUGAACAUGCAGGGGCGGCUAUAGACUGUCAGAGGUGGAGGUUUGAGCCAGACUUUGCUGACUGCUGGCCCGAUGGAUACAAGGGCCCCUCAUCCAUUCUUGGGGCCCCCACCUCUGAGUCCUAGGACUUCUCCCCAGCUGCCAGCCAGGCGGGGGAGGGGAGAGGGGCCCAAGCAGCUGCAGGGGCUGUGUUAGUAAACACUUUCCUGGGUUCCCAUUUUCCUCACCACCCCCUACCCUUCUCCACUCCUGAUGCCCCGUUACACACCACCCCCCCCCCCAACCCCAGCAUCCCCUUUUCUGUGGCCUGCACAAUGAGCUCAUUGUCCUGGGUGUGAUUUGAAUAAGGGAUCGGCGGGCCCGUUCCCAGCAUUGUCCGAGGGGCUGGGAAAAACCCCAGCACAGGCAGGAGGACCAGGCCAGACAGAGACAGAUGCCUAAAUUAGCAACAAAGCUUUGUGCACGUCCCCUGGACAAGGGCUCGCCUUGUUUGCGUGGACUCGAGGGUGUGGAGCUGGCCGGCUGCUCGCAUGUCUCCCCAUGUUAAUUAGUUUUGCAUGCAUGUCUGAGAAGGUGCCAGGGGGGAUGUGUUUGCCUUUCCCCGGGAGGGGGACCUGUUUGUGGCGGUGGAGCUGAGCUGGGCCGGGCCUACCUGGGGAGCCAGGCUCUGAGCCUGGGUGGGAAUUUCGGCGUCCUCAUCCUGCUUUUCUGUCUCUCUGCCCUUUGGGGGGCCUGGCUCUGCUCCCUGUAUCCCCCGCCCCCUCUGUUCUUACCCUAGCACGUCUGAAAGUUGGUUAGCUCUGACUACAGGGAACUCACUGGCUUCCACCCAGACCCAAGCCAGUGCCUGUCCAUCUGGCAGUCUGUCUCUCGUGACACAGGGCCCCCCGGGACGGGCAGCAGAAGCGGCCAGUCUGGGCUCUCCUCCGUCCCCGAGCCAGAUGGCCAGUCU